AGCGGCGGACGGGUGAGUAACACGUGGGUAACCUGCCUGUAAGACUGGGAUAACUCCGGGAAACCGGGGCUAAUACCGGAUGGUUGUUUGAACCGCAUGGUUCAAACAUAAAAGGUGGCUUCGGCUACCACUUACAGAUGGACCCGCGGCGCAUUAGCUAGUUGGUGAGGUAACGGCUCACCAAGGCAACGAUGCGUAGCCGACCUGAGAGGGUGAUCGGCCACACUGGGACUGAGACACGGCCCAGACUCCUACGGGAGGCAGCAGUAGGGAAUCUUCCGCAAUGGACGAAAGUCUGACGGAGCAACGCCGCGUGAGUGAUGAAGGUUUUCGGAUCGUAAAGCUCUGUUGUUAGGGAAGAACAAGUACCGUUCGAAUAGGGCGGUACCUUGACGGUACCUAACCAGAAAGCCACGGCUAACUACGUGCCAGCAGCCGCGGUAAUACGUAGGUGGCAAGCGUUGUCCGGAAUUAUUGGGCGUAAAGGGCUCGCAGGCGGUUUCUUAAGUCUGAUGUGAAAGCCCCCGGCUCAACCGGGGAGGGUCAUUGGAAACUGGGGAACUUGAGUGCAGAAGAGGAGAGUGGAAUUCCACGUGUAGCGGUGAAAUGCGUAGAGAUGUGGAGGAACACCAGUGGCGAA
Molecule: ribosomal RNA, 640 nt
Filed under: Bacillus tequilensis
Lineage: Bacteria; Bacillati; Bacillota; Bacilli; Caryophanales; Bacillaceae
Description: bacterial SSU rRNA
Rfam family: Bacterial small subunit ribosomal RNA
Source: RNAcentral